Claviceps purpurea 20.1 is the source of this 120-nucleotide non-coding RNA. Lineage: Eukaryota; Fungi; Ascomycota; Sordariomycetes; Hypocreales; Clavicipitaceae. The record is from Rfam.
NNACACGACCAUAGGUGGUAGAGAACUCGGGAUCCCGUCCGCUCUCCCAUAGAUAAGCUACCAACCGGCAGAUUAGUAGUUGGGUCGGUGACGACCAGCGAACAACAGCCGGCGGCUGUU